This 75-nucleotide transfer RNA is filed under the name Candidatus Aenigmatarchaeota archaeon. RNAcentral's name for it is "tRNA-Pro". It matches the Rfam family "tRNA". Rfam says of the family: Transfer RNA (tRNA) molecules are approximately 80 nucleotides in length. Their secondary structure includes four short double-helical elements and three loops (D, anti-codon, and T loops). Further hydrogen bonds mediate the characteristic L-shaped molecular structure. tRNAs have two regions of fundamental functional importance: the anti-codon, which is responsible for specific mRNA codon recognition, and the 3' end, to which the tRNAs corresponding amino acid is attached (by aminoacyl-tRNA synthetases). tRNAs cope with the degeneracy of the genetic code in two manners: having more than one tRNA (with a specific anti-codon) for a particular amino acid; and 'wobble' base-pairing, i.e. permitting non-standard base-pairing at the 3rd anti-codon position. Lineage: Archaea; Nanobdellati; Candidatus Aenigmatarchaeota. The record is from RNAcentral. RNAcentral also lists the same sequence under 1 other name.
GGGGGAAUGGUGUAGCUUGGUCUAGCAUCGGGGCUUUGGGAGCCUCAGACCUGGGUUCAAAUCCCAGUUCCCCCA